This is a long non-coding RNA of Chinchilla lanigera (long-tailed chinchilla), 212 nucleotides long. RefSeq lists it as uncharacterized. The record is from RefSeq and is a predicted model, not a curated record. The transcript has 3 exons. NCBI's taxonomy places the organism in Eukaryota, Metazoa, Chordata, Mammalia, Rodentia, Chinchillidae.
CUUUGACCAGGAACAGGAAGUGCUUCUUGCUGGAGAUGGUGUCUACGAUGGUUCCUACCUCCCAGAAACCCUGUUAAGGAGACUGACUUUUUAAAAAGGUGUAUUCUUGGAGUGAAACAGUACCCAGCCAAACAAAAGCGGGCGAAGGGACCAUGUCAAAGGGGACCCGCGAGGGCCGGGAGCGCGGACAGUCAGCGAGGGCGAGGAAGCCG